UGUUCUCCUCUGAACAAAGAAUGGAAUUUAUGGAGAAUGAAAUGGAACAACUAAAAACCAAGAACAAAGAACAAGCAGAAGAACUGACGAGUUUGAAUAAAACAACAGUUGACACCAAUAUCAAAAUGGAUGAA
This is a long non-coding RNA of Sinocyclocheilus anshuiensis, 134 nucleotides long. RefSeq lists it as uncharacterized. The record is from RefSeq and is a predicted model, not a curated record. The transcript has 2 exons. NCBI's taxonomy places the organism in Eukaryota, Metazoa, Chordata, Actinopteri, Cypriniformes, Cyprinidae.